RNAcentral lists this ribosomal RNA (459 nucleotides) under uncultured bacterium. RNAcentral describes it as "partial 16S ribosomal RNA". It matches the Rfam family "Bacterial small subunit ribosomal RNA", at positions 338 to 795 of the family's 1533-position model. The record is from RNAcentral.
CCUACGGGAGGCAGCAGUGAGGAAUAUUGGUCAAUGGCCGGAAGGCUGAACCAGCCAAGCCGCGUGAGGGAGGAAGGCGCAGAGCGUCGCAGACCUCUUUUGCCGGGGGACAAAAGGCCGGACUCGUCCGGUCCUGAGGGUACCCGGAGAAAAAGCAUCGGCUAACUCCGUGCCAGCAGCCGCGGUAAUACGGAGGAUGCGAGCGUUAUCCGGAUUCAUUGGGUUUAAAGGGUGCGCAGGCGGGCCUUUAAGCCGGCGGUGAAAUCGCGGGGCUCAACCUCGCUCCGCCGUUGAAACUGGCGUUCGUGAGUGGGCGAGAAGUAUGCGGAAUGCGUGGUGUAGCGGUGAAAUGCAUAGAUAUCACGCAGAACUCCGAUUGUGAAGGCAGCAUACCGGCGCCCAACUGACGCUGAAGCACGAAAGCGUGGGUAUCGAACAGGAUUAGAUACCCUUGUAGUC